RNAcentral lists this long non-coding RNA (1110 nucleotides) under Vulpes vulpes (red fox). RNAcentral's name for it is "lncRNA (ENSVVUG00000018865.1)". The record is from RNAcentral. Lineage: Eukaryota; Metazoa; Chordata; Mammalia; Carnivora; Canidae.
AUGUCACACUGCAGGGCAUUUGUGGAGGAGCAGCACAGAGAAGCAACGGAGAAGGUGACCAUCGGAGCUCCUCUUGGAGAUAAUGCAUGGUCUGGGGAUUGGAAUUCGUACAGGAAAGGAUGCUUGGUGGGGUUGAGCUCCCAGGGCAGGGGUGAGGGGUGGAGUGUAGUUCACGGAGGCACAGGCAGGUGCAAAUGUUCCAGCACAGCAGGAGAGGGAUUCAGGUGUAAGUGUCCAGCUUCCAGGACAGGCAUGCGGGUACAAGUGUCUAGCUUCCGGGACAGGAAUGGAGGUGCAAGUGUCCAGCUCCCAGGAGAGCCAUGCAGGUGUGAGUGUCCAGCUUGCAGAAGAGGCAUGCAGGUGCAAGUGUCAGGCUCCCAGGACAGGCAUGCAGGUGCAAGCGUCCAGCUCCCAGGAGAGCCAUGCAGGUGCAAGUGUCCAGUUCCCAGGAUAGGCCUGCAGGUGCGAAUCUUCAGCUCCCAGGACAGGCAUGAAGAUGCAAGCAUCCAGCUCCCAGGAGAGGCAUGCAGGUGCGAGUGUCCAGCUCCCAGGACAGGCAUGCAGCUGUGCAUGGCUCACAGGUGUCCCGAGGACAGGAGAGCUCAGCAGCCCCCUGCCCGACGCUGUUCCACCAGAGAAGGUUCCAGAAGCAUGUGUGCAAUCAGCGUCCUGGGGGUGCACUGGGCCACCUGGCUGCCGCCAGCUGCCCGCGCUGCGACCCUGGAGCUCGCACAGGUGCACAAGGUACAGAGGAUCCCUGCAGGGCUGAGGCAACAGCACGCGGCGGCCCUGCAGCUCGGGCUUCGGGAUGGUUCCGGAUGGCAGGGCGUGUCAGCAGCCCGCUCACCUGGCCGCGGCUCUGCGGGUCCGCCGGGAUGCUCGCUGUCCUUCCUCCGACGCCGCGAGCGCCGCACCUGGACGCCAGGAGCUCUCAGCGCCCCCUCCCUGCAUCCUGGGCGUCGCUCUGUGCUCCGUCCCGUCCCCAGGUCCCGCGAGAGGCUGCGGAAACACGCGAGAGUCCGCGAGACCACGCGAGAGUCCACGAAACCACGCAAGAGUCUGCGAGACCACGCGAGAGUCUGCGAGACCACACGUGAGUCUGCAAGAUGA